Molecule: long non-coding RNA, 1163 nt
Filed under: Zalophus californianus (California sea lion)
Lineage: Eukaryota; Metazoa; Chordata; Mammalia; Carnivora; Otariidae
Description: lncRNA (ENSZCAG00015009125.1)
Source: RNAcentral
UCCCUGUGGACUCUGGGCCUACUCUCCCUUUCCAUCUGUUGUAACCUCUGAGGUCUUAGAAUGGAGGUCAACGGGCAUCCAAGGUCCUGGCCUCAGAGCGAGCCUUAAGAUAGCUUUGCAAUAUGCAAGGUGCUACCUUUCUCUCCCCAGGUAGGCAUCUGGCAGCUGUUUUGUUGACAAACACUGUCCCUGCCAAUGGAUUGUCUAAGAAUGAGAACAAGGAGAGGGAACCAAGUGGAGCAAGGAAGACCCGGAUUCUAGCAUAAGCUUGCCACCUAUGUGCAAAGUAAAGAGAAAAGGGGAGAGGACUUGGCUCAGGGGUGCGGCCGCCAGCAGCUCUCCCAUCCUUUAUGAACUGCGUCAGUAAAGGAGACUCUCAGGCGGAAGGACUGUGAGAACAAUGCAGGAGGAGUGGCCAUGGCCACCAGAAGACAUGACACCAUGUGCAGACAAGGACGACAAGUUAGUGAAACAGUCUUCACAGAAAAGGGGAACACAGGCUGAUACCAACGUGGGAACACUUGGCGGAGAGCGUUCUCACCUGCUGCCAGGUGAGUGCAGCCAGGUUGGCGACAUCUCCCAACUCUGCUGAAGGGGAUACCCCACCUCCUGGUACCACCACCACCACCACCACCACCACCACGCAACCCUCCCUCUUGCUGGCGAGGAGCGGCCAGGCAGCCCUGAAGACCCAGAAAUGCCAGAAGCGGGACGCCAGGCAGCAAGCAGCCUAUCUGUGUGCACUUGAUGCAGAGGUCAGAAUGAAGUGGUCACAAUGGUAAGAUCUAAGACCUGCUGCUAAGUCAGAAUCACAUGCGAAUUACGGCAUUUGUAGAAAAAGCAAAACCAACGUAAUGUAAAUAAACACACAGAGCAACGGAAAGGAUCUGGAAAAAUUUGAACUCUUGUGUUGGUGUGGACGUAGGACCGGGGACGGGAGCCGAACAAGCUGGGUUUGAAAUAAAUGAGAUCUGAAAUAAAUGUAGACACACACAUAUCUAUAGUGAUGAGACCGUAUCUGUGUAACGCUCGCCUCAUUAAAAUGAAAAACACGAACACAUCACCAGCUUAAAACGAAGCUCGGCCCGUCUCACGUUCCCAGCAUUUAUUUCAGAGAACUGAUUAUAGAAUGGCUUGCUCUGGAUUUUAUAGCCUAGACCCCG